Molecule: long non-coding RNA, 251 nt
Filed under: Ananas comosus (pineapple)
Lineage: Eukaryota; Viridiplantae; Streptophyta; Magnoliopsida; Poales; Bromeliaceae
Description: long non-coding RNA (ACOM_LNC029289)
Source: RNAcentral
AUAAUACAAGCAAUUCAAUACAAGCGAUUGCAAUUAUACCAGAUUUGCACGAGUGCAAACAACAACUAAUUCACAUGUGAAAGCAUCGAAACUAACUAAACAUUUAUCCACAUACAUGUCAUUUGAUUACAUUUGAAUCAAACACAAGUAAACCAUUAUUUAUAUUCAUUCUUUCCAUUUAUUUACAUCACAUUGUCCAUUAACCCAAAACACAUAAUUUACUUCUUUUUACAUUUCUAGUUCAACAUACA